AUCCAUGCCAAAAAAAUGAAGUUGGAGAUCUGUGAUAUAUGAUUCCAACCAUAUGCAAGCUGGAAAAGCAAAACUAUGGAGACAGUCAAAGGAUCAGUAGUUUGGGGGUUGGGGGAAGGGAGGGAUAAACAGGUGGAACACAGGAUUUUUUAGGGCAGUGAAACAGCUCUGUGUGAUGCUACAAUGAUGGAUACAUGUCAUUUAUACAUUUGUUCAAACCCAGAGAAUGUACAAUACCAAGAGUGAAUCCUAAGGUAAA
Molecule: long non-coding RNA, 259 nt
Filed under: Homo sapiens (human)
Lineage: Eukaryota; Metazoa; Chordata; Mammalia; Primates; Hominidae
Description: non-protein coding lnc-KIAA1614-6:2
Source: RNAcentral